This 467-nucleotide ribosomal RNA is filed under the name uncultured bacterium. Its description in RNAcentral is "partial 16S ribosomal RNA". It matches the Rfam family "Bacterial small subunit ribosomal RNA", at positions 28 to 507 of the family's 1533-position model. The record is from RNAcentral.
GACGAACGCUGGCGGCGUGCUUAACACAUGCAAGUCGAACGGAAAGGCCUCUUUCGGGGGGUACUCGAGUGGCGAACGGGUGAGUAACACGUGAGUAACCUGCCCUUGACUUUGGGAUAACUUCAGGAAACUGGGGCUAAUACCGGAUAGGAGCUCCUGCUGCAUGGUGGGGGUUGGAAAGUUUCGGCGGUUGGGGAUGGACUCGCGGCUUAUCAGCUUGUUGGUGGGGUAGUGGGUUACCAAGGCUUUGACGGGUAGCCGGCCUGAGAGGGUGACCGGCCGCAUUGAGACUGAGAGACGGCCCAGACUCCUACGGGAGGCAGCAGUGGGAAAUAUUGCACAAUGGGUGGAGGCCUGAUGCAGAAACGCCGUGGGCGGGAUGACGGCCUUCGGGUUGUAAACCGCUUGCGCUCAUGACGAAGCUUUGUGUGACGGUAGUGGGUAAAGAAGCACCGGCUAACUACGUG